ACCUGGGCGCUUGCCACGACCCGAGAGCGUGCGAGGAUGGCUCGCCGCGGUGGAGAUAGGGCGCGGCCACAGUUAGAUCCAAAAACGCGUGGACCAGGGCGGCUAGGGCUUGGUUUCACCAUUUAGAUGCAAAGGGGAGUUCGCUGCGGUGCUAGGGAGUCUCAUAGGACGCGAUUGAGCAAGAAAUCCCGGAUUCUUCGGGAUUUUGAAGAUGCGGCUCGGGGCCGGUUGCUCCCCAACCGAGUCCUUGCCGGUUACGGCUAAAGGUAGGGGAAGGAGUGGGCGCUGCCAUGCGGGCCCCGGGUCUUAGCGGUUCAAAGAGAGAAAAGAGAGGGGAGGGACGCGGGCCGCGGGGAACGCUGGGCUGCGGGGUCUGCUGGGCCGGGGAAGGGGAAGUAUGCCGAGCGAGGGGAGAAAAGAAGCUGGCUAGGGGGGCUGGCUGGGUUUGCCUUUCUUUUUUUUUCCUUUUCUGUUUUCUUUUUAUUUUCUUUUUCAAAAAAACAUUUUCCAGAUAGAAUUCUGUGCACAAAUUAUUUCUAACCAAAAGCAAUCAAGCAAAACAUAAAAUAUGUGCCAGCAUGAAUGCACCAUCAAGGUUACUAAACCUAUGAUGUAUUUUAAUUUCCACAAAAUUAUUUAUUUGCUAGGUUCAAAUGCUCGCAUAAAUACUUAAAUAAAUCAAAUUAAUUCCUAUUAAUUGAAAUGAAUUUUUUUGGGUGUUACAAUAAAGCACUUAAAAAAUUGCUAUAAUAAUAAAAGGACUAAUAACAAUAAUAAUGAAUAAAAUUUUGGCUCUACGGUGUUCGAACUAGCAGUGCCCUUGUUUGUUUCCACCUUUGUUUCCUUUUGUUUGAAUAAAUAGGUACAAAAGUAUGGGGGAGAUCUCUUGAGCAUAACUAACACACAUUUGAGAUCUCCCCUUAACAAGUUGCACAAGCAGCGAACGAUCCAACACACAGGAAGGACAAUAGAUAGCUCUGGAGAUAGUUGGCUGAACCUCCACCAUCUUUGAUGCUUUGCGCACAACAACCCUCUACUCCCUACAGUUUUGAGUUUGAAGAAACAUAAAUCUAAACUCAAUCUAUCCUUGCUAUCUUCUCUUGAUGAAUAAUGCAACUAUGUUCUAUACUUCAUUUACAAAUUUUGAAGAGACAUAACAUGUUCAAAAGAGAAUCUUGCAUAAAGUUUGUUCCAUAUAAAUACACUUAUGCUUGUGGGAAAUAUUCUAAUAGGAUAAUCAUGUUAACUAAGUUGUUGUGAAGUGUGAUAUAGUUCUAACUUAGAAAUCCUACCAUUUCUAUUCGAAGUACUUGUGGAAUUUGUUUUGAUAAAAUAUAAAACCGUAGCAUCACAUACUCAACUAGUGAGCAUUUCCUACCAAACCCAAAUAUGACAUCUUGCAAUCUUUAAAUCCUUCGCAUAAGCUGCUUGUUAUUGUGUUGAGUUUGGCCAAGUCUUGUUCACCCUUGUUGAGAGAUUUAUCUUGCUCCUAAGAUCAAAGAUCAUGUACACUCCUUAAACACAUGCUGCUCCUACACUAGAGUAUGCAAAAACAUGCUUCCUUCCAUCCACUUUGAAAUGUUUUACACCUACACUGGGCUGAACACAAAAAAUAUGUUUGAUUGGUUUAUUCACCAAAUAAACGCUCAAAGUUCUUGCAAAUUUCUCCCUUGAAAAGUUUUGUUGUGGAAAAGAGACAUGGGGCUAUGCAAAAGAAAAGGUGAAAAAACAAAUAAAGAAAGAAAAAGUUACAAAAUACAGACAAAGAUGUCCAGAGUAUUGAAAACAAUGGGUACAAAAGAUGCCCGCCAAUAAAAAAGAAAAAAGGGAGAGAGAUAGCCUCUGCUCUUGCAAAUAUUUCAUGUUUUCAACAAGAGAGAUAUGUUUCAAUGAGCACAGUACAAUUAGGUUAGCUACCAAAUAUUCCAAAAACAUGCACAUCUUGAUCUAAAAGUAUCACACUUCUUUCCUUGGGUCCUUGAUUUGACUUUACAACAUAUGCAAUAUGAGUAUGCUAUACUAUUUAUCCCUACCUAAAGAUCCACUUAAAUCUUUUUAGAAGUAGGUGAAGGUUAAACAUUGCUAUGCCUUGUUAAGGAUUUGUGCACAUUGAGUGAUUUGAGAGUGCUAUUUGAGGAGUACAAAGUGAAUUAUGCUUUUUCUAGUUAAAAAACUUCCAAAACUCCAACUUGCUAAGAUGUGAAAUUGAGAAGUUGACUUUGUUGAACUAUUCCACUUUUCUACAACCCAAGGAAACAUGUUAGCUAAUGUUGAUGGUAGAUAACUCC
This 2288-nucleotide long non-coding RNA is filed under the name Sorghum bicolor (sorghum). RNAcentral's name for it is "long non-coding RNA (SBIC_LNC010092)". The record is from RNAcentral. Lineage: Eukaryota; Viridiplantae; Streptophyta; Magnoliopsida; Poales; Poaceae.